RNAcentral lists this unclassified non-coding RNA (379 nucleotides) under uncultured bacterium. RNAcentral's name for it is "contains 16S-23S intergenic spacer region". The record is from RNAcentral.
UCCGGCUUAUCACCGGCAGUCGCCUUAGAGUGCCCAACUAAAUGAUGGCAACUAACGACAAGGGUUGCGCUCGUUGCGGGACUUAACCCAACAUCUCACGACACGAGCUGACGACAACCAUGCAGCACCUCUGCUGGCUCCCUUGCGGGUCAGCCUCUGUUUCCAAAGGCUUACUACCAGUAGUUCAAGCCCAGGUAAGGUUCUUCGCGUUGCGUCGAAUUAAACCACAUGCUCCACCGCUUGUGCGGGCCCCCGUCAAUUCCUUUGAGUUUUAACCUUGCGGCCGUACUCCCCAGGCGGAUAACUUAAUGCGUUAGCUGCGCCACCGAAAGCCUAAGGCCCCCGACAGCUAGUUAUCAUCGUUUACGGCGUGGACUAC